CCCAAGGAACCAAACUGCUGCUUGGACCAUUCUCUGCAAUGCCAGAGCAGACUUUGGGUCAGAAGCAGAUACACUGUCAACUGAGGUAAGUCCAGACAUUGAGCCAGGUUGCGGAGGAGGCAAAUCCAGAACUAUAGUAACUGCUUCCAGUGCGGUGUGUUUUCCAUCUGGACCAGCUCCAACUAGACAGGUUUUCCAUAGUAGUUGUAGCACAUCUGCAUCUAUCUUUCCGGGAACUUUGGUGGCAAAAAUUCUGGCGAUCUCUAGAAGGGUUACUGCCAUAUCAGGAGUAGCCUUGAAACGAGCAUGAAGUGUCAGCAAUAUAUCAUUUACUAAUGGUGCUGGCCAAGCUGGAUCUGUAAGUUCUGAUGCGAUGAUGGAUUCUAAUUCAUCAAAGGACUCGUGAGGGCUUUGCAUCCAUAU
RNAcentral lists this unclassified non-coding RNA (423 nucleotides) under Hevea brasiliensis (rubber tree). Lineage: Eukaryota; Viridiplantae; Streptophyta; Magnoliopsida; Malpighiales; Euphorbiaceae. The record is from RNAcentral.